This 478-nucleotide ribosomal RNA is filed under the name uncultured bacterium. Its description in RNAcentral is "partial 16S ribosomal RNA". It matches the Rfam family "Bacterial small subunit ribosomal RNA", at positions 28 to 507 of the family's 1533-position model. The record is from RNAcentral.
GAUGAACGCUGGCGGCGUGCCUAACACGUGCAAGUCGAACGGAGUCCAGCCUUUAAGACCUUCGGGUCAAAGAGGGGAAGACUGAGUGGCGGACGGGUGAGUAACACGUGGGCAACCUGGCUCAUAGAGGGGGAUAACAGAGAGAAAUUUCUGCUAAUACCGCAUAAGCACACACUGCCGCAUGGCAGAGGGUGAAAAGAGAAUCGCUAUGAGAUGGACCCGCGUCUGAUUAGCCAGUUGGCAGGGUAAGAGCCUACCAAAGCGACGAUCAGUAGCCGAUCUGAGAGGAUGAACGGCCACAUUGGGACUGAGACACGGCCCAAACUCCUACGGGAGGCAGCAGUGGGGGAUAUUGCACAAUGGGGGGAACCCUGAUGCAGCGACGCCGCGUGAGUGAAGAAGUAUUUCGGUAUGUAAAGCUCUAUCAGCAGGGAAGAUAAUGACAGUACCUGAAUAAGAAGCCCCGGCUAACUACGUG